RNA transcript from Triticum aestivum (bread wheat), 6781 nucleotides. It is a transcript of the gene named disease resistance protein RGA2, with no coding region annotated. The record is from RefSeq and is a predicted model, not a curated record. The transcript has 6 exons. NCBI's taxonomy places the organism in Eukaryota, Viridiplantae, Streptophyta, Magnoliopsida, Poales, Poaceae.
UGGGAAUCUCUAGGCGCGCCGCAUUCAAGGAAUCGGACCGUGCAGUUGUUGCCGUGGCUCCGGCUUAGAUAGCUGCGCGUGCUCUAUGUACCAAAAUUUUGUUGACAGGCACAAGCUUGUGUAGAAACCAUCAAGAUUAAGCAUCUCAUUAAUUUGUCGAUGGGUGCAACCGUGCAAGGUUGUGGAAACAAUGGAAGCAUCCCAUUAGAUUGUCGCCAGGUACGAUGUUGAGCAUACUUAUCAGGAACCAUCAACGUCAAAGCAUCUACCGAGGAUUCAAUUUAAGCCUAGAGAUAGCAGGACACAUUGUGAUGUUUUGUCCCCUACUGCUUGUAUCAUUUGUUCAGUAUGCAUAUGCGUCCACAGAUUCCUGUCUGCUACAGGACCACUGCUUAUCCUUUAUUCUCUUCUCUAGGCUCAGCUUCCACGAAAAUAUUUUGUGGUGGUCAUGUAAAAUCAUAAGCUCGUCUUUUCCAUAUGGCUGACAGCUAUGUCAUGUUUAUCAGUAAAGAGGAGUCUAUUUCAGUCAUACAAUACUGUGGAGCCAAGACUUGAAUCAAGGACUUCCAUAGUUCCACGGCCGUGCGGACCCCGCGUCGAGCUUGCCAUGAGGGGCAUGUGUUUCAGUUGAAGGGAUCCUAGUGUUACCUGGUAAAGUUAGCUGCGUUUUGGUGCACUGUUCGACUCUUCUCAUUCGCUGAAUUGCUGCCUGCCUUUUGGUUCACUAUAGCUCUCUCCCCUGAGUCCAUCUGUUUGGUUUCUCCACUGUGCAAGGCCUGUUUUUUCUCCUGCUGUUACUGGGCCGCCUUAGGUGUGCCAGGAGAGAUGUCGGGGUUGCUUGGCACGGUUGUUGAUGCAGCAAUUGGAUGGCUGGUGCAAAGCAUCCUUGACAGCUUCUUUACUGGACGUAUGGAAGCCUGGACUCGUAAAAUCGGGCUUGCUGAAGAUGUGGAGAAGCUCAAAUUUCAGAUGAGGGACGUGCAGAUGGUUCUUGCUGCUGCCGAGGGAAGGAGGAUUGACAAUAUGCCUCUGGCCCUGUCACUGGAUGAUCUCAGAGGGCUGCUUUAUGACUCAGAGGAUGUGAUGGAUGAGCUCGACUACUACCGACUCCAGCAACAGAUCACUGAAGGGAAAGUUUGUAGUGCUCCCAGUGGUGCUAAUCCUGAGGGAAGCUAUGUGUUCUUAUCCACUCUAUCUUCUGUUGUUAAAUUAGUAUGCAGCGCCCCAAGCCAUAUAACUGGUUGGAUCUUACGCGGCAGAAAAAGGAAACGUGAAGAGGAGGGGCCAGCUCACUGUAACAUGCUGCCUUUUGAGAUUAAAGAUAGCAUUUCUAAGAGGAUCAAUGUAAUAGUGAUUCUUCUAUGCAGUAACCGCAAUUCUGUGCAGGGGGCUCUUCAGCUUGAGAACUUGCGCCCCAUGGCAACAUCAAGUAAGAGUCUCAAUAUUUCCAGGGGUCAUCGCAUGACAACUUCUGUUCCGAUUGAAUCUGAGGUGUACGGAAGAGAUGCAGAGAGAGACAAAAUAAUAGAGCUGCUGAGGAAUGGAAAAUCUAGUGAUCUGAAUGUUUUGCCAUUAGUUGGCGCCAUUGGUGGUGUUGGGAAGACAACACUUGCCAGAUUUGUAUACCGUGAUCAAAGAAUUAUAGAUCAUUUUGAUCUGCGAAUGUGGGUUUGUGUGUCCACUGACUUCAAUGAAGAGAGGCUAACACGUGAGAUCCUAGAGCAUGUAUGUGAAGAUAGACAAGAGUAUGAAAAUAAAAGCAAUCCUGAUGUACUGCAGAACAUCCUUUUGAAGAAGGUCAGAAACAAAAGAUUUCUGCUUGUACUGGACGAUAUAUGGGAAGACAGAGACAGGAGUGGGUGGAUUAAUUUCCUGGCUCCGUUGAAAAGGAAUCAAGCAACCGGUUGCAUGAUUUUAGCAACAACAAGAAGGAAAUCAGUUGCAAAAAUGAUAGGAACAAUGGUUGAGGUCGAAGUGAAUGGUCUCGAUGAUAAUGUGUUCUGGCUUCUCUUCAGAGCAUGUGCAUUUGGUGAUGAGAACUACGAGGGCCGUCCUAGUUUGCAAUCUAUUGGGAAAGAGAUUGCUAAAGCACUAAAAGGCUGUCCACUGGCUGCACGAAGUGUUGGUGCACUUCUAAACGCAGAUGUUAGCUAUCAGCAUUGGAUGACAGUUCGGGACAAAUGGAAAUCUCUUGAAGAUGCUGAUGAUAUUUUACCCAUCUUGAAGCUCAGUUAUGAUUAUCUUCCAGUCCACCUUCAGCGCUGUUUCUCUUACUGCUCUUUGUUCCCAGAGGACUACCCAUUUGAUGGGGAAGAUUUGGUCCAUGCUUGGAUAUCACAAAAUUUUGUGCAGUACGAAGGCCGUACCAUAAGAUUGGAGAAAACAGGGCAGAGCUAUUUGGAAAGAUUAGUGGACUUGGGCUUCUUCCACAAGGAUGGCUCACACUAUGUUAUGCAUGACCUAAUGCAUGUAUUGGCCAGGAAAGUUUCAUCAAGUGAGUGUGCUACUAUAGAUGGAUUGAAACCUCAGGCCAUUCAACCAAGCGUUCGCCAUUUGUCAGUCAUAAUUACUGAUUUUGGUAAAGAUGAACAAGGCAGUUUUCCUAGUGAGAAGUUUGACCAAAUACUACAGGAAGUUAGGUCGUCUUUGCAAAAAUUGAGAACCUUGAUGGUGUUUGGGCGAAGGACCAUACAUUUGUUAGGUUCAUUACAUACUUUAUGCAAGGAGGCAAAAUGUUUACGGUUACUAAGAAUUCGUGUGCCAGGUGGCGACAUCAAUUAUAUAAACAGUUUAUUGAAUCCAUGCCAUCUUCGCUAUAUAAUGGCAUAUGGAGUCUACCAAAAACCUGCGUUUUGUCAAGUUCUGACAAGGUGCUAUCACCUUCAAGUAUUGAAUGUGGGCAUUUUUACAGGCGAUCGUGAUGUACCUACUGAUAUGAAUAAUCUUGUUAAUCUGCGCCAUCUUAUUGCUCAUGAGAAAGUGCACCACGCAAUAGUUCGUGUCAGCAAAAUGACCUCUCUUCAGGAAUUAAAAUUCAAGGUUCAAAAUGUUGGUAGUUUUGGGAUAGGACAACUUCAGUCCAUGAAUGAGCUUGUAUUACUUGGAAUUUCUCAACUUGAAAAUGUGAAGACUAAAAAAGAGGUGAGGGGGGCCAAGCUGAUAGACAAAGAGUAUCUAGAAACAUUGUCCUUGUCAUGGGAGGAUAGCAGCAUGAGCUUCCAACCUGAGGCUGCCAAGGAUGUGCUUGAAGGUCUUCAACCACAUCAGAACCUCAAAACUCUAGAAAUAACUGGAUAUGGUGGUGCUACAUCCCCAACCUGGUUCUCCAUUGUUUCCUCAGUUACCUCCUUGCAGGUACUUCAUCUAGAGGGGUGCAGGGAAUGGCAAAUUCUAUCAAUUCGUGAAAUGCAUUCCCUUAGGAAGCUGACAUUGAUCAGGAUGUUGAAUUUAAUGGAAAUCUCAGUUCCUUCCUUGGAAGAGUUGAUCUUGAUCGGCAUGCCAAAAUUGAAAAAAUGUACCGGUUCUUAUGGAAUAGAAUUGACUUACCAUUUAAGGGUUUUGAUGAUCAAGAACUGCCGUGAGCUGAAUGAGCUCACUCUUUUCCAGAGUUACUCUUCUUUCGACGCUGAGCAGAAAUCAUGGUUUCCAUCUCUCAGGAAACUCUCCAUUGGGCAGUGUCCCCAUAUAUUAAACAACUGGCCAAUCCUCCCACUAAGUGAAAUGAGGGCGCUCAGUGAGUUGGAGUUGAUGGACCUACAUGUUGUCGGAGUUUCAGUUCCUUCUCUGGAGAAGUUGGUGUUGACUAAAAUGCCAAACCUGGAAUUUUGCAGCAGUCUAACGACCCAAGGAGAUCAAAUGGGAUGGUCAUCCAAUCUGCGUAGACUUACCAUCCAUGAUUGCCCUUGUUUGAUAGUGUCACAUCCUUUUCCGCCUUCUGCUUCGAUUUCCGAGAUGUCCAUCAGGGGAGUUCCGGGACUUGCAAAAAUGAGUAUAGACCAUAGAUGGUUAACUAUCGAAUCUACUGAGUUGAGUGUGCUAGAUGACAGUAUCCUGGCAUUCAGUAACCUUGGGGGCAUAAGAUUGUUUCGAAUAAGAAGCUGUCCAAAUCUGAUCUCUCUUUCAAGUGAAUCUUUCAGCCAGCUCAUCGCUUUAGAAACUUUAUGUAUACACGACUGCCCUAAUCUUACUAUGUCAAACAUUAUGCCAGAGGUUGUCCAGGAAAACAGCACAUCUACAAGCAGCCUUGUCCCCCCAUCUCUCAAAUCUGUCAACAUUAGCACAUGUGGCGUAACUGGGAGGUGGCUAUCUCAACUGCUUUCACAUUCGCAGUCCCUUGAGGAGUUGCUGUUAACUGGCUGUCCGCAGAUAAAGUUUCUAUCAGUCAUUCAACCUAGAGAAACGGAAGGGACCAGCAGUUUGGCUUCAGCAGUGAUGACCUCGGCCCAAGAUGAACAUGAAUUGAAACUGCCAUAUAAUCUCCUAUGUUCUCUCAAGGUGCUAUGGAUUCAGCAAAGCCUGGAUCUGAAGUUCUUUGGGGGUAAUAGACACUCUACAAGAUUCACCUCUCUUACGCAGCUUUUCCUUCAUGGUUGCCCCAAGCUACUCUCAAUUUUGGUGGGUGAAACAAAAGAUGAUGGUACCAUGGAGGUUGGAUUACUCCCACCAUCACUUGAAGACCUUAGUAUCGGUCCUCUCCCAGAAAACUUGCAGUCAUUCACUCCUGAAGGCCUUUUGUACCUCAAAAAGUUACGUCUAUCUUAUGGCCCAUGUUUGAAGUCUGUACAGCUGCAUUCCUGUACGGCCUUAGAGGAGCUGGAUAUCAUGGGGUGUGUCCAGCUGACUGUACUGGAGGGCUUGCAGUUUCUCAGCUCCCUUCGAAGCUUGAAGAUGGAGAUGAAUUCCGAGCUGUCUUGUGCAUGGGAUCUCAAACUGCAGGAACAAGAGCAGGGUGGGAAUCAAAUUCAGCUAUUUCCUCGGUCACUUGAUAAACUUGAGAUCACGGCUGUCACGGACUGGGUCCAAUCCCGUCUUCUGUCCUGCCUUCCUGCCAUGACCAAAUUAGCAGUACAGAGAAGUCCGGAACUGACGUCUCUACAGUUGGCAUGCUGCACGGCACUGAAAGUGUUGGAAAUUGGAGACUGCGACUUGCUUGCGUCGAUCGAGGGCCUCCAGUUCUGUAGAAACCUGACAUCCUUGAAAGUAUUUAACUCCCCCGGCCUAUCUUCCUGUUUUCAACUUUUGUCCGACCAGCAAGGUGUCUGUGAAGUAUGGUCUGGAUUGAAAACUCUUGUGGCUAGUGACGCAUCUAUCCUGUCCAGGCCGUUCUGCAAACAGCUGACUUCCCUAAGACGUCUACAGUUUGGCUCUGCGUAUAGUGCAAGCUUGGUGAACCUAACAGACGAACAAGAGAGAGCAUUACAGCUUCUAACCUCACUCCAAGAACUUCAAUUCCUGAGAUGCCCGAAUCUCUUAUCACUUCCUGCAAGCCUAUAUAGCCUGACCUCCCUCGGAACAUUAUCUAUCGUACAUUGUAGGAGCAUCACAAGGUUGCCAGACAUGGGCUUUGCACCUUCGCUCAGUAACCUUGAGGUAGCCUAUUGCAGUGAGGAGCUAGGUAUGGAGUGCAGAAUUGCAGCAACUGAAAAGCUAAGAGUCACAAUUGAUUAUGUGGAUGUGAAUUAAUUCAACAGUAUCUACUUCUGAGGCUGCAGCCACCCGAGAUGUUGUACACAUUUCUGCACUCACUGUCACCAGCACAUUUUGUGCAAGUGCCAUUCACCCCUUUGGCUUUCCACAAGCUACUUUAGUCGCAUGUGGGAUGGAUGCAGAAACCAUGGUUGCAAUAGGCUAGUCUUUUUGUUUAUCAGGGGCAUUGUGACCAGUUGCUCAUCGCCAUGAGCUUACGCUAUAGCAAGCCUUACCAUGGUUUGCUGUUCAGCAAUAUUACAUCACGGCAUUGGAAUCUGCGGUCAACCAGGACUACCUGUUGAGUGAUGAGUACACAUUAACUUGACGAUUCCAUGGCUCAACCAUUGCAGGUGUGUAUUGGCAGUUGGGCCAUGCCCAUGAAAAACUGAAGAAGGUACAGCAAACCAGUCGGUGACGACCUCCUACGAGACUGGAGGCCGAAGUCAGCCGAGGGGGGCAGCAGCAGAAGCAACUCGUACGGAAUAUAGGACUUCUAUAUAUAAACCUGCCGGGAACUAAACAAGUCAUAACACCAGCACACCGUUUCGUUUCGCUUCCUCCAUCGUCUGCUCAUCUCAUGACCUCCUCUACCGCCUUCUCGCUUCCCAGAAGCGCAGUGGGAGACACUCAACCCGUGUUAUCGACCAAGGUCGGGUCGUUACUGAAUUUGAAGUUGCUGGAGAUGUUCUCGCCGAGCUCGGCGAAGAGGGUCUUCUCGCCGCUCAUGUAGUUUGAGGCACCCCUGUUGAGAUACCAGGCCUCGUAGAAACCAUUAGCUAAGAUGAUAGGAAAAGAAGCCACCCUGUUUGUAUUCUAUAAGGAGGCAACAAAUAUUUCCAAAGCUGAAGUGCUACCAUUUGUGGAACAGAGGGAGACCACACCCGGAUUAAAGAUGGAAAGUAGAAAUACAGUAGAAUGACGACACCACUCAGUAAGAGUUGAAUUUGUACUUUGCUAUGCGACCUUCUGUGCCGAGAUUCCAUUAUCUGCAUUGCAUCUGAUUGGGCACUAGAGGGUAUGGCUUGCAAGUGUAGGUGAUCUGCUCCAAUAACUGUGCCUUGUAGAGACAAAACUUCUAUAUAUGUUUUUUGGU